AGGAUUAUAGUUUAAAAAAAAACAUUUGAAUUGCAAUCAAAAAUUAUUGUUAUACAAUUUAUCUUA
This 66-nucleotide transfer RNA is filed under the name Ariadne ariadne. Its description in RNAcentral is "tRNA-Ala". It matches the Rfam family "tRNA". From Rfam's summary of the family: Transfer RNA (tRNA) molecules are approximately 80 nucleotides in length. Their secondary structure includes four short double-helical elements and three loops (D, anti-codon, and T loops). Lineage: Eukaryota; Metazoa; Arthropoda; Insecta; Lepidoptera; Nymphalidae. The record is from RNAcentral.